This 568-nucleotide ribosomal RNA is filed under the name uncultured fungus. RNAcentral describes it as "eukaryotic LSU rRNA". The stretch from base 211 to 364 matches the Rfam family "5.8S ribosomal RNA". The record is from RNAcentral. Lineage: Eukaryota; Fungi.
AGNCGUAACAAGGUCUCCGUAGGUGAACCUGCGGAGGGAUCAUUACACAAAUAUGAAGGCGGGCUGGAGCCUCUCGGGGUUACAGCCUUGCUGAAUUAUUCACCCUUGUCUUUUGCGUACUUCUUGUUUCCUUGGUGGGUUCGCCCACCACUAGGACAAACAUAAACCUUUUGUAAUUGCAAUCAGCGUCAGUAACAAAUUAAUAAUUACAACUUUCAACAACGGAUCUCUUGGUUCUGGCAUCGAUGAAGAACGCAGCGAAAUGCGAUAAGUAGUGUGAAUUGCAGAAUUCAGUGAAUCAUCGAAUCUUUGAACGCACAUUGCGCCCUUUGGUAUUCCAAAGGGCAUGCCUGUUCGAGCGUCAUUUGUACCCUCAAGCUUUGCUUGGUGUUGGGCGUCUUGUCUCUAGCUUUGCUGGAGACUCGCCUUAAAGUAAUUGGCAGCCGGCCUACUGGUUUCGGAGCGCAGCACAAGUCGCACUCUCUAUCAGCAAAGGUCUAGCAUCCAUUAAGCCUUUUUUUCAACUUUUGACCUCGGAUCAGGUAGGGAUACCCGCUGAACUUAAGCA